RNAcentral lists this ribosomal RNA (486 nucleotides) under uncultured bacterium. Its description in RNAcentral is "partial 16S ribosomal RNA". It matches the Rfam family "Bacterial small subunit ribosomal RNA", at positions 30 to 507 of the family's 1533-position model. The record is from RNAcentral.
AUUGAACGCUGGCGGCAUGCCUUACACAUGCAAGUCGAACGGCAGCACGGGUGCUUGCGCCUGGUGGCGAGUGGCGAACGGGUGAGUAAUACAUCGGAACAUGUCCUGUAGUGGGGGAUAGCCCGGCGAAAGCCGGAUUAAUACCGCAUACGAUCUACGGAUGAAAGCGGGGGGCCUUCGGGCCUCGCGCUAUCGGGUUGGCCGAUGGCUGAUUAGCUAGUUGGUGGGGUAAAGGCCUACCAAGGCGACGAUCAGUAGCUGGUCUGAGAGGACGACCAGCCACACUGGGACUGAGACACGGCCCAGACUCCUACGGGGGGCAGCAGUGGGGAAUUUUGGACAAUGGGCGAAAGCCUGAUCCAGCAAUGCCGCGUGUGUGAAGAAGGCCUUCGGGUUGUAAAGCACUUUUGUCCGGAAAGAAAUCCUUGGCCCUAAUACGGUCGGGGGAUGACGGUACCGGAAGAAUAAGCACCGGCUAACUACGUG